AGCUAGAGUUUGAUCCUGGCUCAGAUUGAACGCUGGCGGCAUGCCUUACACAUGCAAGUCGAACGGCAGCACGGGUGCUUGCACCUGGUGGCGAGUGGCGAACGGGUGAGUAAAGCAUCGGAACGUGCCCAACUGUGGGGGAUAACGCACCGAAAGGUGUGCUAAUACCGCAUAAGCCCCGAGGGGGAAAGCAGGGGAUCUUAGGACCUUGCGCAGAUGGAGCGGCCGAUGUCGGAUUAGCUAGUUGGUGAGGUAAAGGCUCACCAAGGCGACGAUCCGUAGCUGGUCUGAGAGGAUGAUCAGCCACACUGGAACUGAGAGACGGUCCAGACUCCUACGGGAGGCAGCAGUGGGGAAUUUUGGACAAUGGGGGCAACCCUGAUCCAGCCAUGCCGCGUGAGUGAAGAAGGCCUUCGGGUUGUAAACCUCUUUCAGUUGGGACGAAGCCACGGCGGUUAAUACCCGUCUGUGGUGACGGUACCUUCAGAAGAAGCCCCGGCUAACUACGUGCCAGCAGCCGCGGUAGUCGGGCCC
This 534-nucleotide ribosomal RNA is filed under the name uncultured bacterium. Its description in RNAcentral is "bacterial SSU rRNA". It matches the Rfam family "Bacterial small subunit ribosomal RNA", at positions 1 to 536 of the family's 1533-position model. The record is from RNAcentral.